RNAcentral lists this microRNA precursor (132 nucleotides) under Pteropus vampyrus (large flying fox). Its description in RNAcentral is "miRNA (ENSPVAG00000024802.1)". The record is from RNAcentral. Lineage: Eukaryota; Metazoa; Chordata; Mammalia; Chiroptera; Pteropodidae.
CAGGAUGCCCAAGUAAGUUUGAAUUUCAGAGAAACCAGAAAUAAGUUUUUUUCAUAUAAGCAUGUUCCAUGCAAUAUUUGGGACAUACAUAUACUAAAAAAUUGUUUGUUGUUUAUCUGAAGUUAAAAUUUA